UUCACCCCUUCUUCUUCCUUCUCUUUCUUUUUUAUUUUUUUAUUUUUCCAUUUCUUCUCCACUCCAUUGUUGUUUCGAAGGGACAACCAUUGGGCGCCGGCCGCCCUGUUCGGGGGCAACAGAGACUCUGAGUCGCAGUACAUCUCUGCUCUGUCAAGAGGAUUGAGGGACAUUCGCCGUGUAGCUCCGCCCCUGCGGCGGACGGUAGCAAUUUCCCCGUGAGCGGGCACCGGCGACAACGGAAAGUAUGGUGGUUAGCAUGGAAGGUGUAGCAGCAACGGUAAAUUUGUUAUAUUUGAACAAGUUGUUUACUUGGACCUGCUCAAGAUGCAACGGUUUGAUUGAGGGCAAGUAUUAGACACUUUAUAUGACACCUAAUAAUGCUACACAUAUUCCUACUCAUGGUACAAAUAAUUAAAACUAUCUUGAUUUCUAGAACUUUGAAAUCAUUGAGCUGGUUGUGAUGUGAAGCACUGCCUACAGGCAUUUGUUGGCUUUGCUGCAGAUCUUAAUGCCACUGUGAUUGCAUUCAAAGGAACUAAUGAAAAAAGGUUCAAUCAAUCAAUGGUACUUGAGUGCUUCAUCACCGAUCUAUAUGAUUAC
This is a long non-coding RNA of Andrographis paniculata, 603 nucleotides long. RefSeq lists it as uncharacterized. The transcript is spliced from 3 exons. The record is from RefSeq and is a predicted model, not a curated record. Lineage: Eukaryota; Viridiplantae; Streptophyta; Magnoliopsida; Lamiales; Acanthaceae.